Molecule: long non-coding RNA, 3332 nt
Filed under: Sus scrofa (pig)
Lineage: Eukaryota; Metazoa; Chordata; Mammalia; Artiodactyla; Suidae
Description: lncRNA (ENSSSCG00045036506.1)
Source: RNAcentral
CUGUGGUGUAGGUUGCAAACACAGCAUGGAUCCCACGUUGCUGUGGCUGUGGCGUAGGCUAGCAGCUAUAGCUCCGAUUCGACCCCUAGCCUGGGAACCUCUGUACACCGCAGUUAAUGUACCCACACAGAUUUGCCCUGUUCUGCCCGCCACCCACCCCUGUGCCCCCCCCACCCCAGUCUGCUUCUCAAUGGCAAGUCUCAGGUGCUGGGGCUUUUGCCUCCUUUCCUAAUGUUCCUGGAUAUCUCGGCCUCCGUGGGAGAGGGUCAGGUCCUGGCACAGCUCUUUUGUGCCCACUGUGGAGAGACACGACAGCUCAGAGGCCUAAGCUCCAUCUGACCAGAUCCAGGAAGGUUCUGGCUCCUCCUACCAGAUCCAGAGUAGGGUGUGUUUUCCCCGGGGACUGUCCAGAAGGGAUGUGGGGAGGUGGCAGCACAGCCUGGAUCUGGGGAGGUGGCAACAGUUAACACCUUUGCUGGGAAGGGGAAGGAGCCAGCAGAUAAACUGCUUGCUGUCUGCCUGUCUCCUCCCUUCUCCCCGGCUCCAUUCCUGACUCGCACCGUUCUUGGCUACAUAUUAGUUCCGUAUCAUCCAGCCGGAAACUUUCUGGAUGCUGAUGCAGUUAGCUGUGAUGUCACGUUCAACGGUAGCCAGUUUGCUAGUGCAGCCUUGUGUUUGCUUUCCUUCUUACCUGCCGAACUUGUCUUUUUCUCUUCCCUCUGUUCUGGUAUUUCAACCCUGUUAAAAUAGAUGAAUUUGGUUCUGAACUCAGUUUUCUGAGGAACCUGGGCAGGGUAGUAUUUAAUGAAAAAUAAAUCUCUUUUUCACUUUAGACCCUUGUGCAGUUUACCCUGUCUUGCACCUUGUUAUAUUCCAUGUAACAGUAUGAUAAUGAUACUGUUUGAAAGCUUAUGUGCCAGGCACUAAGUCUUUAUGGUUUGUGCAGCACAACUCCAUGAGAUGAAAUGAACCAUGGAAAUGGUUCCGUAUUAGCAUAUACAGAUCACUUUGCAUUUGUUUUGCUUUUUAAAGGGAUGGUUAUCACUUUUAUAAAUGGAACGUAUUUGUUAUGAAUGAAAAAAUGCUGAAAAAUUUAAAGAAGAAAGCAGGAAUUCACCCCCAGAUCCCAUCAUCUGAGAAAAACUAUUAAGCAAAUAGCAUGCUAUGCAGCUCUCACAAACCUCAAGCUUUCACAACUGGAUAGUAUUGCGUGAGGAUAAGUGCUUUUUUUAUACCUGUAAUUUGCUGACAUAUAGAUGUAUUUCUCCGCCCCCCGCCCCCUCCCCACCAAAAGGAAAAAGUUUACCCACGUGUUACCUUGUGUCAGAUGCAUUUAGUUUGCAGAUGAAAGUUUCUGGGCCAAAAAAAAAAAAGAUAUUUAAUAGCAAAGAUGAUCUGCCCUGAUGUGAUCCUUCUAAUGGAGGAGAACAUCCCCCCAAAUGUGACAGAGGUGCAAGUUUCCCCUGGAGAGUUUUAGUAACCAAAGGAAGCUAUAAGCCAUGUUAGCUGAUUAGAGAUACAUUUUAGGCUAUUUCAUUACGUUUCAGAUUUAAAUUUUGUUACACUAUGUUAUGACUCACCAGUAGUAGAGGUAUCAACUAUAUACUUCAGUAAACACAAACCCCCAAAGUAGUCGGAGGCACUGUGACUUAUUUACCAUUAAGUUCACAUACACUGCAAACCAACCCAGUUAAUGGGCAACAGAACCCCAUUUUGAGGGCAGGGAUGACUACGUUUCUAUUGCAGUGAGAAACAGAGCUUAGGAGAAUCCAUUGGAGACCAGCAGGGAUGAUGAAUUUUCCUGGCCUAGGGGAUGUUUUACCCAACUUUGAAGAUGAUUUUCCAGGGUCUGAGGUUGAAAUGAAAACUUACACAAUUUGUUUUUCUUUUUCAUCUUGAUAUGCUAUAUAUAGUUCCUUGUAUAGUUAUGGACAGUAGUCUCCCCUUAUUCACAGAGAUGCAUUUCAAGACUCCCAGUGGGUGCCUAAAAAUUGGAUAAUAUUAAAUCCUAUGUGUUUUUUCCCAUACAUACACGACUGUGAUAAAGUUUAAUUUAUAAAUUUGGCACAGUAGAGAUUAACAACAAUAACAAUAAAAUAGAACCAUUAUGACAAUAUACUGUAAUAAAAUUAUGUGAAUGUGGUCUCUCAAAAUAGCUUAUUAAACUGUACUUACCCCUUUUCUUGUGAUGAUGGUGAGAUGAUAAAAUGCCUACAUGGUGAGAUGUGUUGAAUGACACAGGUGUUGUGACACGGCAUUAGGCUACUGUUGACCUUAUGAGCAUAUCAGGAGGAAGGUCAUCUGCUCUGGGGCAUCCUGGCUCACUGAACCGUGACAGUGGCAGUGUUUGGAUGUCAGGAGCAGCCGAUGUCCAUGUUUGGGGAUCCCGGGCGGGAUAGAGCAGACUAGCACAAGGGUUCACCACGCUGCUCAAAAUAGUGCACAAGUUAAAACUUACGAGUUGUUUAUUUCUAGAAUUUUCCACCUAAUGUUUCUGGACCACAGUUGACGGCAGGUAACUGAAACCCUGGAAAAUGAAACCGCAGAUAAGGGAAGACUCAUUGAAAUAGCAGCUUUGGUUAGAAUCCAUUAUUGCUUCUCUUUUUUAAUUUGUACAGAUAAUUAGUGAAAUUCUUGUUUUUUAUAGUAUACUUUGUUCCAGUUUUUAAUAAAGUAUUUGCUUGUUCUGGGCUACUUUUAUAGCAAUUCGUGAACAUUUAGUUUAGAUUGUAGCAUGUUCUUUACUCACCAGCACUGUAUUUCAGUAAGUUCUAGGCAGAGCGAUUUAGCUCUAGAGUCAGUUUUUAGUUGAAUUUCUGGGUCAAAGUGUAUGUUCAUUUUAAAUUUUGAUAGGAGUUCCCCUCGUGGCGCUGUGGUUAACGAAUCUGACUAGGAACCAUGAUGUUGCGGGUUUGAUCCCUGGCCUUGCUCAGUGGGUUAAGGAUCCAGCGUUGCCGUGAGCUGUGGUGUAGGUUGCAGAUGCAGCUCGGAUCCUGCAUUGCUGUGGCUCUGGCGUAGGCUGGUGGCUACAGCCCCAAUUUGAUCCCUAGCCUGGGACCCUCCAUAUGCCACAGAGUGGCCCUAGAAAAGGCAAAAAGACAAAAAAAAAUUUGGUAGACAUUGUCACAUUAAAAGAAGAGAUGAAGAGUUCCCGUCGUGGCGCAGUUGUUAAUGAAUCCGACUAGGAACCAUGAGGUUGCGGGUUUGGUCCCUGCCCUUGCUCAGUGGGUUAAGGAUCCGGCGUUGCCGUGAGCUGUGGUGUAGGUUGCAGACGCGGCUCGGAUCCCGCGUUGCUGUGGCUCUGGCGUAGGCCGGUGGCUACAGCUCCGAUU